Molecule: long non-coding RNA, 769 nt
Organism: Onychostoma macrolepis
Lineage: Eukaryota; Metazoa; Chordata; Actinopteri; Cypriniformes; Cyprinidae
Exons: 4
Source: RefSeq, a predicted model, not a curated record
AGAUUUCAUUAAAAUAUCUCCGCUUUUCUUUCGAAAAUGAACGAAAGUCUUAGAUGGUUUGGAGCAUCUUAAGGCUUCUGCAAGCGUGUAUGGUGUCUGGCUUCAGAACCUCACUGUGACUUCAGAUAAGAACAAAGAUUAAAUUGUAAGAAGGGUUGCUUAUAAAAGCAUACAGUACAUCUGAAACUGCUGAGGCUGGGAAGGUUUUUGACUAUAUUUCCGACCAGAUCAGCUGCUAUAGAAGACAAACUGAAAUCUGAGUGCAGAGACAAGCAAAGGAAUAGUUGCAAGACACUACUGACUAGGCUGUGCCCAGGUCUCCGGAACCUGCGACGAUGCUCAGCUCCAUCAGCCCUCCGUCUGCGCCUUCAGAUCCACCAGCUCUGUCUCCAUCGGUCGGCCCCCAGAUGUCGGCAGCCACACCAUCUACAUCUCGGCUCCUCCCUCCCUCGACUCCGCCGUGUGUUGUCAGCACUGGGAUGCUCUGGGUCUGUGCCAUGUGCCAAACUCCAUCUAAGCCGCCAGGGCAUCAUCGUCAUCCUCUCAUCACCAUCCCUACACCAUCUCCUCGUCCACCUCCAAAACCCCUCCAUCCCUCCCUAUUCUGUUGCUUGAACUUUAUCAUCUUCAGUCUUUGCACACACAUCUAUUCACUUUACAUGUUUUUUUUUUCUUCAGAAAAUUGCGUUGUAAUUUUUAUUUAUUCAUUGAUGUAAAAUUCUUUACUUUUCAGUAAUACAGGUAUAACUGAAAUGCUCUACAAAUUGAU